UAAACUCCUCCGCAUCGACUCAUGCAUUCACCCCUUCCGGUCUAAACAGUGAACUCCUCCGCAUCGACUCACGGGUUCACCUCCUUCCGGUCUAAACAGUGAACUCCUCCGCAUCGACUCACGCAUUCAACCCUUCCGGUCUAAACAGUGAACUCCUCCGCAUGGACUCACGCGUUCACCUCCUUCCGGUCUAAAUGGUAAACUCCUCUGCAUUUUCUGUUCGGUUCUAUUUUGGUGGGGCCCACCCGUCAUCACAGAGUAUCUGGGAGCCCUGCCCUCUUGCAGAUGGGAAUGAAAGCCCAGGUGCUCUGGAGAGAUGACUCUCCUCUAGAAAGGAAACACUGGUUCUGUAAACCUGUUUGAGAAGAAAAGCUCACGGAGGUUUCUUGGCCUCUGUGCUUCUGGAGCCAGGGGAAAAAAUAGCCCCAGGCUGAAGACAGGAGGGACCAGAUUGCUGCUUGGUGAUGCGAUCUCACUGCAGAGGCAGCCAGGAGACCCUCCUGAGACGAAUCGGAGAGUCCAUGCUGCUUUUACACACAUCCUAGUUCUUUUAUAACUAGCCUUUUCCUAUUAACGGACAUCAUUCAAAAGCCAGUUUUAAGCAACAUAAAUAUUGAAAACAAUACUAUACUAUUUAGAAUUAAUUAUAAGUUUUUUUUUUAAAGCCUAAAUCUUUUAUUGUUGUUUGAACCCUGGGCACUGAAGCUAAUAAUGUAACUUUUCUCCCUUCUUUCUUCUUUGGCAUAGAUUUAAAGAACUGUUAGACUCAUUUAAAAUGCUAUUAGGCAUUUUAAAGAGUAAUUGUUAAAUGUGUUGUCUCUUGUGGGACUGGAAAUGUUCUGUUCUUAUCUGGCGCUGGUUACAUCCUGUUUUUCAUUUGGGAAAGUGCAUUGAGCUGGAAAUUUAUAUGUUCAAUUUAUGUAAAUUGUACUUCAGUAAAAAUUUUCAAAAAA
Long non-coding RNA from Pan troglodytes (chimpanzee), 953 nucleotides. RefSeq lists it as uncharacterized. The transcript is spliced from 3 exons. The record is from RefSeq and is a predicted model, not a curated record. Lineage: Eukaryota; Metazoa; Chordata; Mammalia; Primates; Hominidae.